This 534-nucleotide long non-coding RNA is filed under the name Phasianus colchicus (ring-necked pheasant). RNAcentral describes it as "lncRNA (ENSPCLG00000019587.1)". The record is from RNAcentral. Lineage: Eukaryota; Metazoa; Chordata; Aves; Galliformes; Phasianidae.
AAAGUACUGUUCUCUGUAAUUUUCCAAAUUGCUUUCUUUUUUUUCUGACUGUACCACGCUUUAGACUGUAUUUCAGAGACCACCGAUCCGUCUAAGUGCCUGUGGUUUGCCAGGAGGGGAGCGGUUCAGGGAGCACAUGGUGAACAGUCCCAUGUUAACAAUGAGAUGAGGGAUGUUUCAGAUUGAUAGCACACAGUCCCUCAGAAACGACAGUGUCAGAACAAGUCUCCCUGAUCGUAAAUCUUCACAGCGGUCUGAACGGAGCGCAACCGUGCUUUUCCACUGGUAAAAGUCCCUUGGGAAGAACAACAGAAACAUGACUUUCUGUGGUUAAAAUGACCUUGAAAAACAGAAGCCCGGUGGAUGCAGAGGAAUAUAUCUCUCAAAGUGCUUGCAGGAACAAAUCAGCCACGGAGAGGCAACAAAUGAAAGAGAAAGGAACAACAGAGAGGGCCAUAAAGAAACCUCUUGAAACUCAGAGGUGACUGUGCCUGAAAAGUGGUGGCACUCUUCCCUUUUAAUUGCAAACUGCUC